RNAcentral lists this transfer RNA (74 nucleotides) under Apilactobacillus kunkeei. RNAcentral's name for it is "tRNA-Asn". It matches the Rfam family "tRNA". From Rfam's summary of the family: Transfer RNA (tRNA) molecules are approximately 80 nucleotides in length. Lineage: Bacteria; Bacillati; Bacillota; Bacilli; Lactobacillales; Lactobacillaceae. RNAcentral also lists the same sequence under 1 other name. The record is from RNAcentral.
UUGCUCCGUGGUUCAAUGGUAGAAUAGCGCACUGUUAAUGCGAUGGUUGCUGGUUCGAGUCCAGCCGGAGCAGU